GGGAGGGGGAAACUAAUUUUCAGGGUCCCUACCUGGUCGGAGAUGCAGCUUUUCUCCGGGCUGCAGCUUCGACCCGUCCUCGCGGCCUACCAGCGCGCCUGGAGCGGCGUCUCCUGAGGGGACCGCCUGGAGCUUCGGCAUCGGCGGCGGCACCGACUCAGCAGCGGCGGCAGCACCGCCUCAGAAGGGGCGGCACCGACUCAGCAGCGGCAGCGGCGGCACUGGCUCAGAGGCGGCACUGACUCAGCAGCGGCGGCGGCGGCACCGGCUCAGAGGCGGCACCGGCUCUGUGGUGGCGGCACCAGCGACGGCACCGGUUCAGCAGCGGCAGCAUCAUCUUAGCAGCAGCAGCGGCGGCGGCACCGGCUGCAGUGGUACCAGCUCGGCAUCGGCACCAGCUCGGCCUCGGCGGAGCUGCGGGUCGGAGGGCGGUGGUGCAGCGCUGGAGCGCCAAUGCGGGGCUGGCGGUGACUUCGCUGAAACUCUGGGCUGCAGCUACAUCGGCAGCAAUGGAAUUGGACGUACCUAUGGACCAAAUCCUGGGGACAGCAGGAUGGUCAAAAGAGAAAACUUUUCAACUAUAUUACAAUAAAUAUAUUACAAUAAACCUGUGACAUUUGCAGAUUCCAUUUUAAGUUCUGUAUCAUGAUUUACCCCAUAAGAUAGGGGCUAUAAUUUUGUUUGUUAAUAAAUUCAUCAUGGU
This is a long non-coding RNA of Leucoraja erinaceus (little skate), 703 nucleotides long. RefSeq lists it as uncharacterized. Lineage: Eukaryota; Metazoa; Chordata; Chondrichthyes; Rajiformes; Rajidae. The record is from RefSeq and is a predicted model, not a curated record. The transcript has 2 exons.